GUGAUGAUUUGCUAAGAGAUGCUAUGAUGUAUGUAAAGUCCCUGCCUUCCCCAAAGAGUGUAUAAAAACUGUUGCAAACUCAGGGCUGAGGGCUCUCUCAGCGUCACCAGUUGCUGUGUGCGGAGAGGACAGAGCUAGCUCGCAAUAAACAGCCUCUUUGCUGCUUACAUUGAUCUUGGUAUCUGGUGGCCUUUGGGGGUCCCGAACUCGAGCAUAUCAUUGGGAGCUCCCUUAUAAGCCUACCCAGACACCUUGAUCAAGAGGUGAUGAAAACCCGGUUGCCCAGCAACAAGCCCACCAGGACGAGUGGUCCCAUCUCAAAGCUCUGUAUGAAACAAGACUCCCUCCUCAGCCACACAGCUUCCGUUCCAGAGACUGGGUCUACAUAAAGAGACAUCAACAGGAAUCACUGCAACCUCCCUGGAAGGGACCAUACGGGGUGAUCCUCACAACACCCACCGCUCUCAAGGUCAACGGGAUUGCCACCUGGAUCCACUACUCUCAUGCAAAGCCAGCAGACUUGUUCUCUGUGAGGAGCGACUUCAUUCCGGAUUCGAAUUCCAAGUGGCUCAGUGGUGCUCAAGAUCCUGAGGAACAUAAGGUCUGAUGCAUGAAAGAAUCAUUAAAGUUGUUCAAGUAAUAAGGUAUAUGGCUGUAUGGAAUAGAGGUUUUGAUGUCUUUGUCCCUUUCUUUGUAGUCGCAAGGGUGAAUUUUGAGACAGUCCUAAUUACAUAUAUGAGCAUAUCUGGGAAUUGUACCUCUGCCCUGUAGCUGAGUUGGGCUCUUAGAGAAUUUCUGUAGAACUCAGUUCCACAUUUAGAUUUUCUAUUAAUAAGGCUAGUUUGAAACUUGACACAGAAUUAACAUUAAAGAUUGUCUUUAUUGUUGGUUCAUAUACUCUACAAAGAUGACCAAGGCUGAUUCAUUAAGAUCAGAGCCAGGAGGGGUGGUUCACACCUGUAAUCCCAGUAGCUCAGGAGGCUGAGGCAGGAGAAUCACAAGUUCAAAGCCAGCCUCAGCAACUUAGUGAGGCCCUGUCUCUAAAUAAAAUAUUUUAAAAGGGCUGGAGUUGUGACUCAGUGGUUAAGCACUCCUGGGUUCAACCCAUGAUACCAAAAAAGAAAAAAAGAUCAGUUAGAAUAAUUCUAAAUUAACUAGCUAUUUUACAACUAUCUUAAGAAAUUGUUGAAUGCUUUAAUUUAUAAGUCAUUAUAAAAUUAUUCUUACUAUUCCAGAUAAUCAUGUACACUCAAUUAGUAGAGGCAUAAAUAUGGCAGGACUAGAGUUAAAUUCUAAGAUUUACCUCUUACCUGAGCAAAAUAUCUGUAUAUCAUACCAAAUUUGAAACUGUCCUCAUUGUUGGUUUACUAAAGAAAACUUU
Molecule: long non-coding RNA, 1381 nt
Filed under: Ictidomys tridecemlineatus (thirteen-lined ground squirrel)
Lineage: Eukaryota; Metazoa; Chordata; Mammalia; Rodentia; Sciuridae
Description: lncRNA (ENSSTOG00000030541.1)
Source: RNAcentral